RNAcentral lists this ribosomal RNA (405 nucleotides) under uncultured bacterium. RNAcentral's name for it is "bacterial SSU rRNA". It matches the Rfam family "Bacterial small subunit ribosomal RNA", at positions 356 to 773 of the family's 1533-position model. The record is from RNAcentral.
GGGGAAUAUUGCACAAUGGGCGCAAGCCUGAUGCAGCGACGCCGCGUGAGGGAUGACGGCCUUCGGGUUGUAAACCUCUUUCAGUAGGGAAGAAGCGAGAGUGACGGUACCUGCAGAAGAAGCGCCGGCUAACUACGUGCCAGCAGCCGCGGUAAUACGUAGGGCGCAAGCGUUAUCCGGAUUUAUUGGGCGUAAAGAGCUCGUAGGCGGUUUGUCGCGUCUGCCGUGAAAGUCCGAGGCUCAACCUCGGAUCUGCGGUGGGUACGGGCAGACUAGAGUGAUGUAGGGGAGACUGGAAUUCCUGGUGUAGCGGUGAAAUGCGCAGAUAUCAGGAGGAACACCGAUGGCGAAGGCAGGUCUCUGGGCAUUUACUGACGCUGAGGAGCGAAAGCAUGGGGAGCGAAC